This is a long non-coding RNA of Thalassophryne amazonica, 970 nucleotides long. RefSeq lists it as uncharacterized. The transcript is spliced from 3 exons. The record is from RefSeq and is a predicted model, not a curated record. NCBI's taxonomy places the organism in Eukaryota, Metazoa, Chordata, Actinopteri, Batrachoidiformes, Batrachoididae.
ACUGAAAUUGCAUUUCAACACCACGUGCUCAUACACCGCCAUUUAUACAUCUGGGCUCUGGACUGUUGAUGCAUUAUCUCACUAAGCUUAAAGGAAGCUUUAGCUACUGAUUGCAAAAUGUAAUUAUCUAGCAUUAUUUUUGUUUGUUUAAAGCGGUCAUAUUAUACAACUUUUUAGUAAGCUAAUACAGUAUAUUAUGCAGGGUGUGUUUAAGAUUGAUGUUAGAGUUUGUAACCGAAAUAAUACAACAUACAGGCACUGAAAAAAACAAAAAUGGACCUCUUCAGAUGUUUAAAGCUGUGUUCCCAUUAUCGCGGCAAAACAUAUUUUCCCCACAUUUCCUUCAUUGUGUGAGUGGUGUGUUGGACGCACCACAUCUUGUGCAUAGGAAUGUAACAUGCACAGCAGAGGCGCACAGAAUGGAAAGUUCAAAUUUGUUGAGGUUUAAUCUUUGUAGUCAGUAAGUGGAGAGUAGGGCGGAGCCUCUUCACGAUGGAGGAGAGGCUAAUGCCAAUAGUUUGUCUGAAUUUUUGGAAUUGUGCAAGAGAAAAGUAGCCAAAGUGAAGUCUGGCUAAUGCACUCCACACACACUACUGUCAAGUUAAUGUCAUGGCUAAUGCUUGCAACAGGUGCAUUUCUGGAUUGGUCAAGAUGUGUGUGAACCAGUGUGGUGCACGAGAAAACAAUAAGAUGAACACACCGUUUAACACGACCUGUUUCUGUGCGCCAUGUUGCUUUAACGGGAAAGGAGCUACUGCUCGCCACACCCCUUACUUGUGGGUGUGUCACAGAGCGCUGACCAGCUCAGUGGGUGUGGCUGUAGCAGGAAGCAGGACUUCGCAUAAGGAUUUCUGUAACCUAUGUCACGGGAAUAAUUUCAGGCCUAAUUUCAGUUUACAGGAGUUGUUUCUGCACGCACGGUCACAGAAUGACGUGUGUGCACAUGGUCGCCAAUAUGGCAUUAAAUAAU